AAAAAGAGCGGUGGGCGGCGAGAGAAGAGAGCGACCGAAACGAGAGCGAGAGUUGUAACAAAUAGAUAUGUAUAUGUAUAUACAGUAGAGGUUCCGAAAAUAGUGCCCCCAUAUCGCAUUUGAAUUCUACAAACUAUUAAGUUUUAAAUUAAGUAGGAAAAAAUGUUAUCAAAUCAUACAAAACCUAAAAGCUAUGUGGUUUGAUCUACAAAACAAAGUUUUCUUUACUUGGCCUGCGAUGUAUUUUCAUAUAUAUUUUUAUGAUGCGCUGUUUGCAAGGGUAGCGAUAAACAUACUUUGUACUUAUGCAUGUAUGUACAAGCAUAGAUACGUAGUUCGUCAUAGGACAACGAAAACAAUAACUCGAUCUUUUUGCUUACAAACAAAUUUAAAAAGCAGCCCGGAAGAGAAACGCCUCUGGUUGCAAAAAUCCGGUUUCAAAUCGAAUGCACAACAAUUACCGGCCAUGUUUAUUCAUCGAGUCAAGUCGGUCGAUAUAAAUUCAUAUUUAUUGAGAACUCCAUGGCAAAGAGAAAAUAUUAGCUUUGUGUUUGCCGAUCGAGUUCUUGUCUUUCGAGGGGUGUAAGUAUUGACACACUAGUUUAGGCCAGAUUAAGGAGGUAACCGAUGCCGAUACCUGUGUUAUCACACAACCUGGCCAAUAAGCCCACGCACACCAACGCAUCGGCGGCGGAAAGAGAGCGGCGAUAAAGCCACAUCAUAUAGGACACAGAACCAGUUUUGACAAAAAGUCGCUUUGUGGUUGUGCCCGACACGCCGCAAGCAAAACAAAAACAGCAACAGGAAAAACAAUAACAAAGCGACAAACCGAGAAGCGGCCGAAAGAGAGAGACUAAAGUUUAAGAGAGCGGCACAGGAAAAGACCGGUGCGCGAGAGCGUUACAUGAUGCAAUUAAGCUCUUGUAAAAAGAGAGUACACAGAAAGAAAUAUGAUUGUGGCAUUUGAUUAAUUUUUAACGGUUAGAGCAUAGUUUUACAGUGGCACACAACUAAAGUUAUUUUUCUUUCAGUGCAGAGAGCCCUGUUUCAUUGUUUUUGUACGUUUUGGAGUGCGAGAGCGCGAUGCCCGAAAAUGUCGUGAAGGACGUGGAGCAGAGGUGCGAGGGAGAGAGAUACAGAUUCCAACACCAAUGCAGCGGAAGGUGGUGUGAUGUGCCUGAGUUCUGUUUAAAAGCAAACAAGUGGAAAGGGCAAACAGCAAAAAAAACUACAUUUAACUUGCUUUGUUUUCGUUUUUGCACAGUAAACAACAACAUAUGCCUCA
Molecule: long non-coding RNA, 1285 nt
Organism: Drosophila sechellia
Lineage: Eukaryota; Metazoa; Arthropoda; Insecta; Diptera; Drosophilidae
Exons: 2
Source: RefSeq, a predicted model, not a curated record